This 324-nucleotide long non-coding RNA is filed under the name Brassica napus (rape). RNAcentral's name for it is "long non-coding RNA (BNAP_LNC013665)". Lineage: Eukaryota; Viridiplantae; Streptophyta; Magnoliopsida; Brassicales; Brassicaceae. The record is from RNAcentral.
UUGAUUUGAUAAAGAAAGGAAAAAAGGUUAACAAAUUGAAGCUUUAGCUGGUUGAUAAUUAUAUCUCUUCACUUAUCCACUCCGUAGCUAUUUAUUUGUUCACAUCUGAUUCAAGUUUCAGAGUUUUCAAGAAACACAGCAGAAAACAGAGAAGGCAACCACAGUCCCUAAUAUUUACCAUAACUGCUCUGCAUUGUCCAACCGACAGUCCUCUGUUCUCUUCAUAAACUUCCUCUUCAUCAAUCAUGUAAUGGCUCUCCAGCCAAUAUACGUCUCUCCUCCGGGAGCUUCCUUUCCACCGGUGCGGCUUGAAGAAGAGAGACG